Molecule: ribosomal RNA, 253 nt
Filed under: uncultured bacterium
Lineage: Bacteria
Description: partial 16S ribosomal RNA
Rfam family: Bacterial small subunit ribosomal RNA
Source: RNAcentral
UACGUAGGGGGCAAGCGUUGUCCGGAUUUAUUGGGUUUAAAGGGUGCGUAGGUGGCUGAUUAAGUCAUGGGUGAAAGCCCGCAGCUCAACUGUGGAAUUGCCUGUGAUACUGAUUAGCUUGAGUGCGGUUGAGGCAGCUGGAAUUGGUGGUGUAGCGGUGAAAUGCAUAGAUACCACCAGGAACACCGAUUGCGAAGGCAGGUUGCUAAGCCGUAACUGACACUGAGGCACGAAAGCGUGGGGAGCAAACAGG